GACGAACGCUGGCGGCGUGCUUAACACAUGCAAGUCGAACGGUAAGGCUCCAGCUUGCUGGGGUACACGAGUGGCGAACGGGUGAGUAACACGUGGGUGACCUGCCCUGCACUUCGGGAUAAGCCUGGGAAACUGGGUCUAAUACCGGAUAGGACCAUGGUGUGGAUACUGUGGUGGAAAGUUUUUUCGGUGUGGGAUGGGCCCGCGGCCUAUCAGCUUGUUGGUGGGGUAAUGGCCUACCAAGGCGGCGACGGGUAGCCGGCCUGAGAGGGUGGACGGCCACAUUGGGACUGAGACACGGCCCAGACUCCUACGGGAGGCAGCAGUGGGGAAUAGUGCACAAUGGGCGGAAGCCUGAUGCAGCGACGCCGCGUGGGGGAUGACGGCCUUCGGGUUGUAAACUCCUUUCACCAUCGACGAAGGGUUUCUGACGGUAGAUGGAGAAGAAGCACCGGCUAACUACGUG
Molecule: ribosomal RNA, 466 nt
Filed under: uncultured bacterium
Lineage: Bacteria
Description: partial 16S ribosomal RNA
Rfam family: Bacterial small subunit ribosomal RNA
Source: RNAcentral